Solanum lycopersicum (tomato) is the source of this 847-nucleotide non-coding RNA. NCBI's taxonomy places the organism in Eukaryota, Viridiplantae, Streptophyta, Magnoliopsida, Solanales, Solanaceae. The record is from RefSeq and is a predicted model, not a curated record.
UACUGUGGAGUAUGUCGCAGGUCAUAUCAGCGUUUACGUUUGGAGCUGCAAUCUUUUUCAAAAACCUUUAGAUGGUGCUACUGUAUUCAUAGCAACAAUAGUUUUCAGAAUUUUACAGGAUCCUAUCAGAUACUUCCCUCAGUCCCUUAUGACAAUUUCACAAGCCAUGGUAUCUCUUGGUAGGUUAGAUGGAUAUAUGACAAGCCGUGAAUUGGAUUCUGAUGUUGUCCAAAGACAACAAGGCUGUAAUGGCAGUAUUGCAGUGGAGGUUAAAGAUGGGAAUUUUUCAUGGGAAGAUGAUGGUGAUCAAAUUGUUCUGAAAGACAUAAAUCUUUAAGUUUGAAAGGGGGAACUUGCUGCAAUUGUUGGAAUGGUUGGAUCAGGAAAGUCUUCUUUGUUGGCAUCAAUGCUUGGUGAACUUCACAAAGUAUCGGGAGAGGUAAGAGUCUGUGGAAGCACUGGUUAUGUUGCCCAAAACCUCAUGGAUACAAAACUCUAAUAUCCAAGAGAACAUCUUGUUUGGUUCACCAAUGAACAAUAAAAGAUACAAAGAUGUAUUAAGGGUUUGUUUAUUGGAGAAGGACUUGGAAAUUCUGGAACAUGGAGACCAAGGUGAGAUAGGAGAACGAGGAAUCAACCUCAGCGGAGGUCAGAAGCAGAGGAUACAACUCGCAAAAGCAGUGUAUCAGGAUCGUGAUAUCUAUCUUCUAGAUAAUAUAUUUAGCGUUGUUGAUGCUCAAACUGGAUCAGAAAUAUUUAAGGAAUGUGUAAGGGGAGCUUCGAAGGAUAAGACUGUUGUUCUUGUCACUUACCAAGUUGACUUCCUUCCCAAUGCAGAUCUUAUAUU